Molecule: ribosomal RNA, 458 nt
Filed under: uncultured bacterium
Lineage: Bacteria
Description: bacterial SSU rRNA
Rfam family: Bacterial small subunit ribosomal RNA
Source: RNAcentral
CGGUGUGCCUCAUACAUGCAAGUCGAACGAUAAGGUCUCUUCGGAGAUACAUAAGUGGCGGACGGGUGAGUAAUAUGUAGGGAAUCUGCCCCAGAGAGGGGGACAACAGAGGGAAACUUCUGCUAAUACCCCAUACGAGCUUGGUUGAAAUACCAAUCUUGAAAACUCCGGUGCUCUGGGAUGAGCCUGCAUCUGAUUAGCUAGUUGGUGGUGUAAUGGACCACAAAGGCGACGAUCAGUAGCUGGUUUGAGAGGAUGAUCAGCCACAAUGGGACUGAGACACGGCCCAUACUCCUACGGGAGGCAGCAGUAGGGAAUUUGCGCAAUGGGGGAAACCCUGAACCGCAGCAACACCGCGUGAAUGUUAAGCCCUUCGGGGUAUAAAGUUCUGUCAAUGGGGAAGAAUUAAUGACUGUACCCAUAAAGGAAGCACCGGCUAACUCCGUGCCAGCAGCAGC